Non-coding RNA from Coprinopsis marcescibilis, 97 nucleotides. The record is from the annotation of a GenBank genome assembly. NCBI's taxonomy places the organism in Eukaryota, Fungi, Basidiomycota, Agaricomycetes, Agaricales, Psathyrellaceae.
GCCUGCCUAGCUCAAUCGGAUAGAGCGUCAGACUCUUACAAUGUCUCACGGCGGAGAAGCGAUCUGAAGGCUGCGAGUUCGACCCUCGCGGUGGGCU